Molecule: ribosomal RNA, 506 nt
Filed under: uncultured bacterium
Lineage: Bacteria
Description: partial 16S ribosomal RNA
Rfam family: Bacterial small subunit ribosomal RNA
Source: RNAcentral
AUUGAACGCUGGCGGCAGGCCUAACACAUGCAAGUCGAACGGUAGCACAGAGGAGCUUGUUCCUUGGGUGACGAGUGGCGGACGGGUGAGUAAUGUCUGGGAAACUGCCCGAUGGAGGGGGAUAACUACUGGAAACGGUAGCUAAUACCGCAUAACGUCUUCGGACCAAAGUGGGGGACCUUCGGGCCUCACACCAUCGGAUGUGCCCAGAUGGGAUUAGCUAGUAGGUGGGGUAAUGGCUCACCUAGGCGACGAUCCCUAGCUGGUCUGAGGGGAUGACCAGCCACACUGGAACUGAGACACGGUCCAGACUCCUACGGGAGGCAGCAGUGGGGAAUAUUGCACAAUGGGCGCAAGCCUGAUGCAGCCAUGCCGCGUGUAUGAAGAAGGCCUUCGGGUUGUAAAGUACUUUCAGCGGGGAGGAAGGCGUUAAGGUUAAUAACCUUGGCGAUUGACGUUACCCGCAGAAGAAGCACCGGCUAACUCCGUGCCAGCCGCCGCGGUAA